RNAcentral lists this ribosomal RNA (140 nucleotides) under uncultured bacterium. RNAcentral's name for it is "partial 16S ribosomal RNA". It matches the Rfam family "Bacterial small subunit ribosomal RNA", at positions 355 to 509 of the family's 1533-position model. The record is from RNAcentral.
UGGGGAAUAUUGGGCAAUGGACGCAAGUCUGACCCAGCAACGCCGCGUGAAGGAAGAAGGCUUUCGGGUUGUAAACUUCGUUUUAAGGGGGAAGAGCAGAAGACGGUACCCCUUGAAUAAGCCACGGCUAACUACGUGCC